GUGAGUCAUCGAAUCUUUGAACGCACCUUGCGCCCUCUGGUACUCCGGAGGGCAUGCCUGUCUGAGUGUCGUGAAGACUCGAUCCCGGGUUAAACCGUGAUCGGACUUGGGCGUUGCCUCUGGCUCGCCUCAAAUGCCUUAGCCGUGUGACGUGAUAGGUCUUCGUCCGAACGGCUCUAAACCCAUCUCGACUUUGACCUCAGAUCAGGUAGGACUACCCGCUGAACUUAAGCAUAUCAAUAAGCGGAGGA
Molecule: unclassified non-coding RNA, 251 nt
Filed under: Basidiomycota sp.
Lineage: Eukaryota; Fungi; Basidiomycota
Description: partial contains 5.8S ribosomal RNA, internal transcribed spacer 2, and large subunit ribosomal RNA
Rfam family: 5.8S ribosomal RNA (bases 1-71)
Source: RNAcentral